UGUUCCUGGAGCCGCUAGUGGGUCGUCCGCCCUUUUUGUGCCUGCACCAUGCCUCGUUCCCGUGCCCGAGCUGCCCGAAUCCAUGACAAAUAGAAGCAAUCUAAGUGGACAGCGAAGAACCUGGCAGCAAGUAAAAACUAAAUAUAAAAAUAUCUUCCAUAAUGCUGCCAAGAAAGAGGCAGGCAACUGCUACUGGUGGGGGGCCUCCACCUGAAGACCUCACACCAGCAGAGGAGCUGGCACUGAGCCUUAAUCGAGGUCGGCCUCAGAUGGAGGGAAUAGAACGUGUGGUAUCAAGAGAUCAUCCCCUCAGGUGUCCGGGAGAAAUAUGUACAAGUUUAAUGGCCCCAGUACAUCCUGGGCUGUUGAUGAUGAGACAAUUGGACAGAUUCAGAACAGCGACGGCAGGAGGCAGAGUUGUCAAACAGCACCACCAGCUGGUAAUGUAAUACAUUGACAUUUUUGCACCUUAAAGUAUUCCAACUUUGUUUAAAUUAGUUUGUUUUAUUUAUUUUUAUUGGGAAAGUGUCCCAAAACAAUAUUUUA
Molecule: non-coding RNA, 546 nt
Organism: Paramormyrops kingsleyae
Lineage: Eukaryota; Metazoa; Chordata; Actinopteri; Osteoglossiformes; Mormyridae
Source: RefSeq, a predicted model, not a curated record